CUUUCCCUCUGGCGGCAUGCCUUACACAUGCAAGUCGAACGGCAGCACGGGUGCUUGCACCUGGUGGCGAGUGGCGAACGGGUGAGUAAUACAUCGGAACAUGUCCUGUAGUGGGGGAUAGCCCGGCGAAAGCCGGAUUAAUACCGCAUACGAUCUACGGCUGACAGCGGGGGACCUUCGGGCCUCGCGCUAUAGGGUUGGCCGAUGGCUGAUUAGCUAGUUGGUGGGGUAAAGGCCUACCAAGGCGACGAUCAGUAGCUGGUCUGAGAGGACGACCAGCCACACUGGGACUGAGACACGGCCCAGACUCCUACGGGAGGCAGCAGUGGGGAAUUUUGGACAAUGGGCGAAAGCCUGAUCCAGCAAUGCCGCGUGUGUGAAGAAGGCCUUCGGGUUGUAAAGCACUUUUGUCCGGAAAGAAAUCCUUGGCCCUAAUACGGUCGGGGGAUGACGGUACCGGAAGAAUAAGCACCGGCUAACUACGUG
Molecule: ribosomal RNA, 486 nt
Filed under: uncultured bacterium
Lineage: Bacteria
Description: partial 16S ribosomal RNA
Rfam family: Bacterial small subunit ribosomal RNA
Source: RNAcentral